Molecule: ribosomal RNA, 506 nt
Filed under: uncultured bacterium
Lineage: Bacteria
Description: partial 16S ribosomal RNA
Rfam family: Bacterial small subunit ribosomal RNA
Source: RNAcentral
AGUGAACGCUGGCGGUAGGCCUAACACAUGCAAGUCGAACGGCAGCACAGGAGAGCUUGCUCUCUGGGUGGCGAGUGGCGGACGGGUGAGGAAUACAUCGGAAUCUACUCUGUCGUGGGGGAUAACGUAGGGAAACUUACGCUAAUACCGCAUACGACCUACGGGUGAAAGCAGGGGACCUUCUGGCCUUGCGUGAUUGAAUGAGCCGAUGUCGGAUUAGCUAGUUGGCGGGGUAAAGGCCCACCAAGGGGCCGAUCCGUAGCUGGUCUGAGAGGAUGAUCAGCCACACUGGAACUGAGACACGGUCCAGACUCCUACGGGAGGCAGCAGUGGGGAAUAUUGGACAAUGGGCGCAAGCCUGAUCCAGCCAUACCGCGUGGGUGAAGAAGGCCUUCGGGUUGUAAAGCCCUUUUGUUGGGAAAGAAAUCCAGCUGGCUAAUACCCGGUUGGGAUGACGGUACCCAAAGAAUAAGCACCGGCUAACUUCGUGCCAGCAGCCGCCGUAA